AAACCAAACACACCUUUUAAUUUUGUUAGUUUGCGCAGCAGCCCUUCUCUCCUUCAUUCGUUCUUCCCGUAAACCCUAAAACCCCUUUCAAAGCAAGCCGCCGAUUGCCGAAUUUCCUCCGGAUUCGCCGUUCGAUAUGGCGAGGUCGGCAGUGAAAUUCAAGACUCCGAAGCAAGGGAGAAUCAAACGGGAGCUUGAGAAGCGUGCUCCAAAAUUGGUGGAAACCGGGAAGAAGACGCUCAUACUCCACGGCACAAAAACGAGCGGAGUCUUGAAUACAGUGUUGACAGAAAUAUAUCACCUGAAGAGGACUGAUUCCGUGAAGUACUCACGAAAGAAUGACAAAAUUAGGCCGUUUGAGACCGGCGGCGAAACGUCGCUGGAGUUUUUCUCCCAGAAAUCGGACUGCAGCUUGUUUGUUUAUGGUUCUCACUCAAAGAAGAGGCCAAACAAUCUUGUAGUCGGGCGUAUGUAUGAUCAUAAAGUUUAUGAUCUUGUAGAGGUUGGUAUAGAGAAUUUCCGAAGCAUGGAGUCUUUCUCGUAUGACAAGAAGUUGGCUCCUCAAAUCGGAUCAAAGCCCUUUUUUGCUUUUAUUGGAGAGGCUUUUGAGAAUGUGGACGAGCUGAAACAUUUAAAAGAAGUAUUGCUUGAUCUUUUCCAUGGGGAGGCUGUAACAAAUUUGAACUUGGCUGGAGUUGAUCGAGUUUAUCUGUGCACUGCCUUGUCUCCGAAUAGAAUUUUCUUCACUCACUGUGCUUUGCGCCUUAAAAAGUCGGGAACUGUAGUGCCAAGGAUGGAGCUGGUUGAAGUUGGUCCAUCCAUGGACAUGGUUGUUAGGAGGCAUCGACUGCCAGACGAUGGCAUUAAAAAAGAAGCAAUGAAGAUAGCUCCUGAAUUGAUGAAGAAGAAGGAAAAGAAUGUUGUGAAGGAUGCUAUACAAGGGAAGAUCGGAAAGAUUUAUAUGCCUGAUCAGAAGGUCGGAAGCGUGCCAUUUAACAACAUUUCAAAGGGGGUAAAAAGAGAGCGACGAGAAGCUAAGAUGAAGGGUGAAGGUCACAAACCGGCGGAAAAGAAGCAGAAGCAGGAACAGGAACAGGAACCAGAACAAGAAGAAUGACCGAAGAAGCCUUAAGCAAGCAACAUAUUUUUGCGCAGUUACAAUAGUCUAAGGAUCAUCUGUCUACACAGUGCAUGGUAUCUACCUUCGUUCUCAGUCUUCGUCUCGCCAGUUUCUGAACCCAAUAUCAAUUCCCCAAAUAUCUGUUAAUCCAUCACCGGCACCUUCGCCGAGAGCAUCCCAUGAAUCAUUGAUAUCGGUGCCGGUGGCGUCGUAUUCCAUACCCCAUACGUCUGCUGCAUCCCUCGGUUGAGCUCCCGUUGCGUUGGUCGAGCAUUGCCCGGUACCUUCAACCCGAGAUGGCACAGGUUCGUCUGGCUGAAGCUUUACAUACUUAUGCGGCGAUCCAGUCGAACUAAUCGUCUUCUGCUUCCUUGCUUCCCUCAGACAGGAUAAAAUUGCGGGCUUUUGCAGCAUGUUCGCCAAGAACGAAACCAUUUGCUUUUGUCGCUUCUCGGCUGCGAUGAGCUUCUCCUUCACAGCUUCCACGUGCUGCACCGUCCCGCGCUGCUCCUGCUGCAGCUGAACCAGCUCCUCCAUCAUCAUCCGCCGCUCUUUCCUCAAGCUUUCGACUUUGCCUUCAAGCGCAUCAUCCGAUCUCACAAUCUGAUGCGAUCUGCGCCGUUGAAUCAUUCUCAGCAGAUGCCUCUGCCCUUUCGCAAACCCCUCGUUUUUGAACUCCCAUUUGUCUGUCCCGAUCUUGUGAAAGCC
Molecule: RNA transcript, 1828 nt
Organism: Andrographis paniculata
Lineage: Eukaryota; Viridiplantae; Streptophyta; Magnoliopsida; Lamiales; Acanthaceae
Gene name: ribosome production factor 2 homolog
Exons: 7
Source: RefSeq, a predicted model, not a curated record